ACUCCUACGGAGGCAGCAGUGGGAAUCUUGGACAAUGGGGCAACCCUGAUCCAGCCAUGCCGCGUGAGUGAUGAAGGCCCUAGGGUCGUAAAGCUCUUUCGCCUGUGAUGAUAAUGACAGUAGCAGGUAAAGAAACCCCGCUAACUCCGUGCCAGCAGCCGCGGUAAUACGGAGGGGUUAGCGUUGUUCGGAAUUACUGGGCGUAAAGCGCGCGUAGGCGGACUAUUAAGUCAGGGGUGAAAUCCCGGGGCUCAACCCGAACUGCCCUUGAUACUGGUAGUCUUGAGUUCGAGAGAGGUGAGUGGAAUUCCGAGUGUAGAGGUGAAAUUCGUAGAUAUUCGGAGGAACACCAGUGGCGAAGGCGGCUCACUGGCUCGAUACUGACGCUGAGGUGCGAAAGUGUGGGGAGCAAAACAGGAUUAGAUACCCUGAGGCUCUGC
RNAcentral lists this ribosomal RNA (440 nucleotides) under uncultured bacterium. RNAcentral's name for it is "bacterial SSU rRNA". It matches the Rfam family "Bacterial small subunit ribosomal RNA", at positions 335 to 798 of the family's 1533-position model. The record is from RNAcentral.